CCUACGGGCGGCAGCAGUGAGGAAUAUUGGUCAAUGGACGAGAGUCUGAACCAGCCAAGUAGCGUGAAGGAUGACUGCCCUAUGGGUUGUACACUUCUUUUAUAUGGGAAUAAAACAGGGUAUGCAUACCCUCUUGUAUGUACCAUAUGAAUAAGGAUCGGCUAACUCCGUGCCAGCAGCCGCGGUAAUACGGAGGAUCCGAGCGUUAUCCGGGUUUAUUGGGUUUAAAGGGAGCGUAGGUGGAUUGUUAAGUCAGUUGUGAAAGUUUGCGGCUCAACCGUAAAAUUGCAGUUGAAACUGGCAGUCUUGAGUACAGUAGAGGUGGGCGGAAUUCGUGGUGUAGCGGUGAAAUGCUUAGAUAUCACGAAGAACUCCGAUUGCGAAGGCAGUUCACUGGACUGCAACUGACACUGAGGCUCGAAAGUGUGGGUAUCAAACAGGAUUAGAUACCCGUGUAGUC
This 460-nucleotide ribosomal RNA is filed under the name uncultured bacterium. RNAcentral describes it as "partial 16S ribosomal RNA". It matches the Rfam family "Bacterial small subunit ribosomal RNA", at positions 338 to 795 of the family's 1533-position model. The record is from RNAcentral.